This is a long non-coding RNA of Schistocerca americana (American grasshopper), 647 nucleotides long. RefSeq lists it as uncharacterized. The transcript has 2 exons. NCBI's taxonomy places the organism in Eukaryota, Metazoa, Arthropoda, Insecta, Orthoptera, Acrididae. The record is from RefSeq and is a predicted model, not a curated record.
ACGAUGCCGCGCUGCCUCAAGCAAAUACUCAAGUUGGUACUGGUCACAUGACAUCCGAGUAGCGCUACCCUCCAGGAAUGCACGCAUUCAUAUUAUUUACAAGAUGAACGCGCCGCCACGUGACUCCGAUUUUCCGCCUCGCGCUGUCCGGCACAUCGGUGCUCCCAGUUACACGGAACAACUGUCCCACAGCACAUCCCACUAGCGUAACUUCGCGCACAUGAUCGACGCAACUGAUUUCCAUAUCCUCACACUCACCACGGACAACUACAUAUCAUGUCCAGCUAACUCUUGGAUUUUACCAUACUAUUGAUCAGACUUUGAUCAAGCUAUGAUACUUGGCAGCAACACAUAAUGCAAAAGUGGCUUUCACACCAGUGAUGUAUGUAUGUACAUUCAUAGGCCAAUGAAUGCUACCAGGACACUGCUCUUCUUCAAUCUUGCAUGUCAUCAGCCUGCUGUCAUUCACAACCUGAAGCCAUCCUCCAGACAUUUUACUGCAUUUUAAAUCAGUUCUGAACUGUCUAAAUUUCAUCUGUCUUGUUAAAAUUAUACAUUGUAAUGUAAUUGUUCUAUGUAAAUGUCACAAGUCUAAAGAGCAUGAAAAACAAGUUUUGUUGUUUAAUAAAGAAGCUUUAAAGCUGUUA